RNAcentral lists this signal recognition particle RNA (97 nucleotides) under Pleurocapsa sp. RNAcentral's name for it is "signal recognition particle sRNA small type". It matches the Rfam family "Bacterial small signal recognition particle RNA". From Rfam's summary of the family: The signal recognition particle (SRP) is a universally conserved ribonucleoprotein involved in the co-translational targeting of proteins to membranes. The record is from RNAcentral. RNAcentral also lists the same sequence under 1 other name. Lineage: Bacteria; Bacillati; Cyanobacteriota; Cyanophyceae; Pleurocapsales; Pleurocapsaceae.
GAUUCGGACUCAUGCGGUAUUAACGCCCAAAUCUUGUCAGGACCUGACGGUAGCAGCAAUACGGGAUGCUUAACACAGGCGUGAUAUCCGAAUCAUC